Molecule: ribosomal RNA, 254 nt
Filed under: uncultured bacterium
Lineage: Bacteria
Description: partial 16S ribosomal RNA
Rfam family: Bacterial small subunit ribosomal RNA
Source: RNAcentral
UACGUAGGGUGCAAGCGUUAAUCGGAAUUACUGGGCGUAAAGCGUGCGCAGGCGGUGAUGUAAGACAGAUGUGAAAUCCCCGGGCUCAACCUGGGAACUGCAUUUGUGACUGUAGAGCUGGAGUGCGGCAGAGGGGGGAUGGAAUUCCGCGUGUAGCAGUGAAAUGCGUAGAUAUGCGGAGGAACACCGAUGGCGAAGGCAAUCCCCUGGGCCUGCACUGACGCUCAUGUACGAAAGCGUGGGGAGCAAACAGG